RNAcentral lists this transfer RNA (92 nucleotides) under Chitinophaga sancti. RNAcentral's name for it is "tRNA_Ser_GCT". It matches the Rfam family "tRNA". Rfam says of the family: Transfer RNA (tRNA) molecules are approximately 80 nucleotides in length. Their secondary structure includes four short double-helical elements and three loops (D, anti-codon, and T loops). Lineage: Bacteria; Pseudomonadati; Bacteroidota; Chitinophagia; Chitinophagales; Chitinophagaceae. The record is from RNAcentral.
GGUGAGAUGCCUGAGUGGCCGAAAGGAACGGUUUGCUAAACCGUCGUACGGGUCAAACUGUACCGAGGGUUCGAAUCCCUCUCUCACCGCCG